This is a non-coding RNA of Epinephelus lanceolatus (giant grouper), 323 nucleotides long. NCBI's taxonomy places the organism in Eukaryota, Metazoa, Chordata, Actinopteri, Perciformes, Serranidae. The record is from RefSeq and is a predicted model, not a curated record.
CAGUAGUAUUAGGAGUAUUGUGUGGUAAUUCGUGAGGCAGAAAGCCAAAGAGCAGCUCUUAAACUUCCAUCUUUACCACUGCUGAGAUACAGUGGCAGCAGUAGUUGUGUGGACUCACCUCCCCCUGGUUGAUGUACACAUGGACUCUUCCCUCCUCCCUGGUGAUGCCCGUUGCCAUGGGAGCGCCGACCAACAGAUCCGACAAACCAUCAGCGUUCAGAUCCACCACACACACGCUGGAGCCAAACGACGACCCGCAGCAUGUUGCUGUCUACUGCGAAGAUGAAGACCUGCACAGCACAAGGACACACACUAACUUCAAC